Triticum dicoccoides is the source of this 327-nucleotide long non-coding RNA. RefSeq lists it as uncharacterized. The transcript is spliced from 3 exons. The record is from RefSeq and is a predicted model, not a curated record. Lineage: Eukaryota; Viridiplantae; Streptophyta; Magnoliopsida; Poales; Poaceae.
GAACUUCGCCAAACUUCGGGUGGGCGUCGUGUGCGCCACAUACAUGCAGUUCAAAGGCAGAGAGUCGGCAGCGACUUGAUUUAUAUUUUCCGCUACUUGUCAAUAUGAUGGCCCGUUGUAAAUAAAUGAGGCCUGGCCAUCACUUAUACUUGGGAACUACUUUUCAGUGAUAGCUGUAUUGACUAAGGGAACUACGGCGGGCUUAUGCCUACUGAACUAUAUUCGAAACUAUCAGAGUGUAUAGCAGAUUAGAGCAGAUUACAGCAACCUUAAAGGUAAAAUGAUCUGACCAUUUUUUUCACAAUACACAGGUAGUACAUAGUAAUA